This 2904-nucleotide ribosomal RNA is filed under the name Escherichia coli. Its description in RNAcentral is "23S ribosomal RNA". It matches the Rfam family "Bacterial large subunit ribosomal RNA". Lineage: Bacteria; Pseudomonadati; Pseudomonadota; Gammaproteobacteria; Enterobacterales; Enterobacteriaceae. The record is from RNAcentral.
GGUUAAGCGACUAAGCGUACACGGUGGAUGCCCUGGCAGUCAGAGGCGAUGAAGGACGUGCUAAUCUGCGAUAAGCGUCGGUAAGGUGAUAUGAACCGUUAUAACCGGCGAUUUCCGAAUGGGGAAACCCAGUGUGUUUCGACACACUAUCAUUAACUGAAUCCAUAGGUUAAUGAGGCGAACCGGGGGAACUGAAACAUCUAAGUACCCCGAGGAAAAGAAAUCAACCGAGAUUCCCCCAGUAGCGGCGAGCGAACGGGGAGCAGCCCAGAGCCUGAAUCAGUGUGUGUGUUAGUGGAAGCGUCUGGAAAGGCGCGCGAUACAGGGUGACAGCCCCGUACACAAAAAUGCACAUGCUGUGAGCUCGAUGAGUAGGGCGGGACACGUGGUAUCCUGUCUGAAUAUGGGGGGACCAUCCUCCAAGGCUAAAUACUCCUGACUGACCGAUAGUGAACCAGUACCGUGAGGGAAAGGCGAAAAGAACCCCGGCGAGGGGAGUGAAAAAGAACCUGAAACCGUGUACGUACAAGCAGUGGGAGCCUCUUUUAUGGGGUGACUGCGUACCUUUUGUAUAAUGGGUCAGCGACUUAUAUUCUGUAGCAAGGUUAACCGAAUAGGGGAGCCGAAGGGAAACCGAGUCUUAACUGGGCGUUAAGUUGCAGGGUAUAGACCCGAAACCCGGUGAUCUAGCCAUGGGCAGGUUGAAGGUUGGGUAACACUAACUGGAGGACCGAACCGACUAAUGUUGAAAAAUUAGCGGAUGACUUGUGGCUGGGGGUGAAAGGCCAAUCAAACCGGGAGAUAGCUGGUUCUCCCCGAAAGCUAUUUAGGUAGCGCCUCGUGAAUUCAUCUCCGGGGGUAGAGCACUGUUUCGGCAAGGGGGUCAUCCCGACUUACCAACCCGAUGCAAACUGCGAAUACCGGAGAAUGUUAUCACGGGAGACACACGGCGGGUGCUAACGUCCGUCGUGAAGAGGGAAACAACCCAGACCGCCAGCUAAGGUCCCAAAGUCAUGGUUAAGUGGGAAACGAUGUGGGAAGGCCCAGACAGCCAGGAUGUUGGCUUAGAAGCAGCCAUCAUUUAAAGAAAGCGUAAUAGCUCACUGGUCGAGUCGGCCUGCGCGGAAGAUGUAACGGGGCUAAACCAUGCACCGAAGCUGCGGCAGCGACGCUUAUGCGUUGUUGGGUAGGGGAGCGUUCUGUAAGCCUGUGAAGGUGUGCUGUGAGGCAUGCUGGAGGUAUCAGAAGUGCGAAUGCUGACAUAAGUAACGAUAAAGCGGGUGAAAAGCCCGCUCGCCGGAAGACCAAGGGUUCCUGUCCAACGUUAAUCGGGGCAGGGUGAGUCGACCCCUAAGGCGAGGCCGAAAGGCGUAGUCGAUGGGAAACAGGUUAAUAUUCCUGUACUUGGUGUUACUGCGAAGGGGGGACGGAGAAGGCUAUGUUGGCCGGGCGACGGUUGUCCCGGUUUAAGCGUGUAGGCUGGUUUUCCAGGCAAAUCCGGAAAAUCAAGGCUGAGGCGUGAUGACGAGGCACUACGGUGCUGAAGCAACAAAUGCCCUGCUUCCAGGAAAAGCCUCUAAGCAUCAGGUAACAUCAAAUCGUACCCCAAACCGACACAGGUGGUCAGGUAGAGAAUACCAAGGCGCUUGAGAGAACUCGGGUGAAGGAACUAGGCAAAAUGGUGCCGUAACUUCGGGAGAAGGCACGCUGAUAUGUAGGUGAAGUCCCUCGCGGAUGGAGCUGAAAUCAGUCGAAGAUACCAGCUGGCUGCAACUGUUUAUUAAAAACACAGCACUGUGCAAACACGAAAGUGGACGUAUACGGUGUGACGCCUGCCCGGUGCCGGAAGGUUAAUUGAUGGGGUUAGCGCAAGCGAAGCUCUUGAUCGAAGCCCCGGUAAACGGCGGCCGUAACUAUAACGGUCCUAAGGUAGCGAAAUUCCUUGUCGGGUAAGUUCCGACCUGCACGAAUGGCGUAAUGAUGGCCAGGCUGUCUCCACCCGAGACUCAGUGAAAUUGAACUCGCUGUGAAGAUGCAGUGUACCCGCGGCAAGACGGAAAGACCCCGUGAACCUUUACUAUAGCUUGACACUGAACAUUGAGCCUUGAUGUGUAGGAUAGGUGGGAGGCUUUGAAGUGUGGACGCCAGUCUGCAUGGAGCCGACCUUGAAAUACCACCCUUUAAUGUUUGAUGUUCUAACGUGGACCCGUGAUCCGGGUUGCGGACAGUGUCUGGUGGGUAGUUUGACUGGGGCGGUCUCCUCCUAAAGAGUAACGGAGGAGCACGAAGGUUGGCUAAUCCUGGUCGGACAUCAGGAGGUUAGUGCAAUGGCAUAAGCCAGCUUGACUGCGAGCGUGACGGCGCGAGCAGGUGCGAAAGCAGGUCAUAGUGAUCCGGUGGUUCUGAAUGGAAGGGCCAUCGCUCAACGGAUAAAAGGUACUCCGGGGAUAACAGGCUGAUACCGCCCAAGAGUUCAUAUCGACGGCGGUGUUUGGCACCUCGAUGUCGGCUCAUCACAUCCUGGGGCUGAAGUAGGUCCCAAGGGUAUGGCUGUUCGCCAUUUAAAGUGGUACGCGAGCUGGGUUUAGAACGUCGUGAGACAGUUCGGUCCCUAUCUGCCGUGGGCGCUGGAGAACUGAGGGGGGCUGCUCCUAGUACGAGAGGACCGGAGUGGACGCAUCACUGGUGUUCGGGUUGUCAUGCCAAUGGCACUGCCCGGUAGCUAAAUGCGGAAGAGAUAAGUGCUGAAAGCAUCUAAGCACGAAACUUGCCCCGAGAUGAGUUCUCCCUGACCCUUUAAGGGUCCUGAAGGAACGUUGAAGACGACGACGUUGAUAGGCCGGGUGUGUAAGCGCAGCGAUGCGUUGAGCUAACCGGUACUAAUGAACCGUGAGGCUUAACCUU